AGAGUUUGAUCCUGGCUCAGGACGAACGCUGGCGGCGUGCCUAAUACAUGCAAGUUGAGCGCUGAAGGUUGGUACUUGUACCGACUGGAUGAGCAGCGAACGGGUGAGUAACGCGUGGGGAAUCUGCCUUUGAGCGGGGGAUAACUAUUGGAAACGAUAGCUAAUACCGCAUAACAAUAGAGAUUGCAUAAUCUUUAUUUGAAAGUACCAACUGGUACACUAUGAGAUGGACCCGCGUUGUAUUAGCUAGUUGGUAGUGUAAUGGACUACCAAGGCGAUGAUACAUAGCCGACCUGAGAGGGUGAUCGGCCACAUUGGGACUGAGACACGGCCCAAACUCCUACGGGAGGCAGCAGUAGGGAAUCUUCGGCAAUGGACGAAAGUCUGACCGAGCAACGCCGCGUGAGUGAAGAAGGUUUUCGGAUCGUAAAACUCUGUUGUUAGAGAAGAAUGUUGAUUAGAGUGGAAAAUUAAUCAAGUGACGGUAUCUAACCAGAAAGGGACGGCUAACUACGUGCCAGCAGCCGCGGUAAUACGUAGGUCCCGAGCGUUGUCCGGAUUUAUUGGGCGUAAAGCGAGCGCAGGUGGUUUAAUAAGUCUGAUGUAAAAGGCAGUGGCUCAACCAUUGUGUGCAUUGGAAACUGUUAGACUUGAGUGCAGUAGAGGAGAGUGGAAUUCCAUGUGUAGCGGUGAAAUGCGUAGAUAUAUGGAGGAACACCGGUGGCGAAAGCGGCUCUCUGGACUGUCACUGACACUGAGGCUCGAAAGCGUGGGGAGCAAACAGGAUUAGAUACCCUGGUAGUCCACGCCGUAAACGAUGAGUGCUAGAUGUAGGGAGCUAUAAGUUCUCUGUAUCGCAGCUAACGCAAUAAGCACUCCGCCUGGGGAGUACGACCGCAAGGUUGAAACUCAAAGGAAUUGACGG
Molecule: ribosomal RNA, 925 nt
Filed under: uncultured bacterium
Lineage: Bacteria
Description: bacterial SSU rRNA
Rfam family: Bacterial small subunit ribosomal RNA
Source: RNAcentral